UUGACCACUAUACCGUGAUAGAAAAAUAUUUCCAAUGAAUUAUAAAUAUUUUACAUUGUGAAUUAUAAAUAUUUGUUACAAAUUAUAUCGUACUUGAGGUGAAAAUGAACCAUAUAUCUGCUUAUGGAAUACGAGGUAGUAAAUCAUUCGAAACAUAAUAACGAUUAAUUAAGCACAUAUACAAUAACAUUUACGAAUGAAUAUUGCGAAUUAUUGUAUGACUUUAAUGCGGUAUUUAAUGUUUUGUUUGCGGUCUUUGAAAUGGUAUCAUAGGUGCUGAUAUAAUAUCGCGCGAAAAAGGAAAGACCAGUGGUUAAUAUUGCAGGUGCACCAGUGCGUUGCGCUCGUCGGGGGUGGUUUUGACGCCGGUGCCGAGGAGAGACGCAGAACGUGUUCGAUCGACCCGCGAACGUAGCCCGUGCUCAUACUGCGACAGAGUUCGUUUCAGUUAGGCUCAAUCGCUGUUUGUCCGUCGACAGCGUAUAGUCGCGUCGGCCUACGAUUCCUUUUUUCUUCUUGUUUCUUGCGAACUCUCUCGCAACAGCCGUUCUAUACGUACGCCGCCAGUAUAUCGCGUGAUCAUCGUUCCCGUUGCUUCCCUUACCCUCUCACGUCCUUCGAAGAAGACCUCCCUUUAGUUUUUCCUUGUUUGGAGGGAAUUCAUCGCUCGGACACAUGGACUGCGAAGCACGAGGGUUGAUCGAGGCAUCAGCGUGAUGUACUUUUCAGGUUUCAUAUUUUCUCUAUGAUACUUUCUAAGGAGAAUUUGAAAGAUAUACAUUUUUAGGAAAUAAAGGUUUUUAUGGAGUCAUCGAUAGGUUAGAAUUUAAUUAACUCUCUUAUAACAGGUAUUCCAAUUUUUUAAUAUAUAAAUUUAGUUUCCUCUAUGGUGUUAGAGAACACAAUGCGGGCAUUUUAUGAUAUAACGAAUAUAUUCGUAUAUAUUUUAGUUUAUUCAUUCGUCAAAUUUCCCUAGUAGGCCGGCCUGCAGCUCACAUGCAGCACUUAGUAAAAAUUUGUUUUGUUAGAGGUUGGCCAUUCUUCUUGCUAUAAGAAUAUCGUGAAGUCAUAUCAUAUGAUAAAGCACCUUCUGAAAGCUAGAUGCUCGAUAACGAGCCUAAUGAUUCUCGGUAGUUUGUAAUGUCAAGCUUUGAAUUGGCGAGAUCGCUCUGCUGUCAAACGGCCGUCCAGCGGCGACCACAUUCUUUAACCACGUUCAAGGGGUAUAUCACGCUACAGAAACCAUCAAAGGGUUUGCAAGUUAGUUGCCUUUUAGAAGUGGGGCAGUUGGUUGUUACAUGUAAUCCGUAGUUGCUGGCUGUUCUCCUUAGUCGCCAUACAUCAUAGAGACGACAGUUAUAGUCGCCAGUUGUCCUUGCUAAUGGUUGCUUGUUGUCGCUAGUUAGUUCUCGUUAUCGUUAUGUAUUCCAUCAAUCACGCGAAAUUUAACGUAUGGGAAUUUAUUCUUCUUUAUUCUUUCUGUAGGGAGAUUUUUUAAGACGAGGAAAAUAUAGAAUAUUUUAAGACGACGGUAAGGUUUGAAUUUAAGUAACUGUUUUAUGAUACAACAAAGUGGAAAGACGAUUUAAUUUUAUAAAGUUUAAGGUAAUUUUUUAAAAAACUUCGAAUUUAAAAGAUUCAAAUAGAUAUCUUAAACGUAAUUAAACCCUCCAUAUCGUAAGAAAUUAAAUGAAACUGCGCAACAAAGUUAAUACAUUUAAUGUAUUAUUUUAAACAUUUAUUUAAAAACAUUUAUUUAAAAUUUAACAUUUGUCAGUUCGUUACAUCUGCGGUAAAAGUUGUAACUACGAAGAAGCUUAACAUAUGGUGCGUCUCAAGACGACAGUAAAAAGUAUUAAGAGAUUUUUCGAGAUUUUUUCUUUUAAGUUUCCAAGUACUUUUUCUAUUUAACUUCUUUUUUUUUUUGUUGCAUUUUCUAACAAUAUUCGAUAAAUAGAGACGAAAUAUGACAGUUCUUAGUUCGGGGAUUUAUUGGUUCGAAAGUUACUUGAAAAGUGUUUCUGGAGUUCGUGCGGUUAAUACUUUUAAACUUUUACCGAGUACGACUUAUUCCGUAUGGCUGGACAAAUCUUUGUUGAUACUGUAAGCGUAACUGUAAGCGUCCGGAUAUUGUCUUGUGGAGAUAGAAAAAUACACGAAGUAUUGAUUGAACUACAUAUUUUUUUAAUUCUUUUUUAAUUCUUUUAGUUCUUCAUAUAUUGAUAAUAAAACGAUAUUCCGCUACUUUGAGCACAAUAUAGUAAUGUUUAAAUAAAUAAUAAAAUUUACGCAUUUCGUCUUCAUGCGUCGAUAAGAAAAUGCAAAAAAAGUUAAAGAAAGAUGAUGCGCAGACGCGAAGUUUAGUCAGCAAUAAUAUUUUAAACCUCUAAAAUAUAUUGUACACAUUUAUUUGCAAAUAAGCUCAAUGAAAUUGAACUGUAACUGUGUUUCCAAUAAUGUCUUCGAUGUAUUGCUCGCCAUUAUGUCGGAUUAACAGCUCUAAGUGAUCGACCUUAAUCACUAAAUGUCGGCCGUGAUUCAGUGGUAUAGCUUUACAUAUGACGGACAUCGCAGGCGCUUGUAAGACGUCCAUUGUGAAACGUUUCCAAUAGCACCGUUUAUGCACCGUUUAUGUGAUGGUGAAAUCUGAAUAUAUAUAUCGCUGAAAUAUAUAUCGCUUAUCACUUGAGUCUGACACGAUCGUUUUUAAAUAGAAUCACAAUUUUUUAUUCUUUACAAAAUCAGUCUUUAAAGAUUAUGUGCAAAUAAAAUAGAUAAAUAGAUAAAUGGUUGUAGAAACUUAUAAAACAGAUAUUACAAGUAUAUCUAAAUAAAUGAUAUAUUUAUAAAUUGUAAUAUUUGAUCUAAAGUUUAAAUAAAUAAAAGAGAUACUCGUGACUUACAAUAAACGUAUUUUUUUUUUCAAUUUUUAAACAAAGCAAAAGUGGAUAACAAUUUUUCAAAAUGUAAAAAUCAACACAAUGGUUGGUUUCUUUAAUUAAUCAAUAACGUUUAAAGUUAAUUAAUGUCCAGAGUGGUUUGUACAUUUUGUAUUUCGCCGUAUUUCAACGUUCGAUGUGUAAAUAGAACUUGAUGCCUGAAAUAUCGAAAAAAUAAUUAAAUCCGAUCGUUCCGUCGAAUUUGCAAAUUGUAUACUCGUGUAAAAUCGA
Molecule: long non-coding RNA, 3170 nt
Organism: Bombus huntii
Lineage: Eukaryota; Metazoa; Arthropoda; Insecta; Hymenoptera; Apidae
Exons: 2
Source: RefSeq, a predicted model, not a curated record